RNAcentral lists this unclassified non-coding RNA (444 nucleotides) under Hevea brasiliensis (rubber tree). The record is from RNAcentral. Lineage: Eukaryota; Viridiplantae; Streptophyta; Magnoliopsida; Malpighiales; Euphorbiaceae.
AUUGUGCUUCAUGAGGAAUUGAAGCAUUUGAAGCAGAUGAUCAAAGACUUUGCUGUUUCAUAUGCCAGAGACCGGUAACCAGAAAGAUUGACUUCUAAGUUCUAGCUCAUCUUUCCUCUGUUGGGAACCAGAGUGCUCAGGAAUUGUAGUUUGCUGGAGAAGCCAGCAGAAAAUGCAACGCAAACAGGGUGAAGCUUGUUACUAGAAGAUUUGGAGUCGCAGUUUCCUGGGCGUAAAUAGACUUGUAGAGUGCCUAGUUUUGGUUUCCUUUUUUCCAUUCUUUAGAGGGGAUUGUUGCCCAGUACGUUUUUGUGUAAAUCUUUUUUCGAAGUGUUGACUUGUGAUUGUAAAAUCGCCCCAAGGGCAAGUUCUCCAUAGUUUUGUCUUCAUAGUGAUGUUCAUGAUCCUUUACCAAAUUUUGAUACAAACUAUUGUGCAUUAGUG